Molecule: long non-coding RNA, 351 nt
Organism: Drosophila hydei
Lineage: Eukaryota; Metazoa; Arthropoda; Insecta; Diptera; Drosophilidae
Exons: 2
Source: RefSeq, a predicted model, not a curated record
AUACAAAUACACAAGAAAAGUAAUAGGCAUUAGUUUUUCAUAAAAUAGUGUAAAACAAAGUACACUUUUAGUUAGCUUUAAAGUUAGUUUUCAGUGUUAAAAGCAAUUAAUUUCAAGCUCUAGCUCUAGUUUUCUUACACUAGGCGUGACGACGAAAAAAUCGACAAAAAAAAAAAACAAAUUUCUCGAAAUCCGCAUAAAAGAUUUACACGCGACGGCACCAAGUACGACUAUUAAACGACAAAUAUUUUGUUCAACGUUCCAAAGUAGCUCCAAAUUAUUUAAAGUCAACAACUAACACGAAAAUAAAGGGCGGACUUUAAAGAAGCGGACAAAGGAAAGCCUAUAAAA